RNAcentral lists this ribosomal RNA (254 nucleotides) under uncultured bacterium. Its description in RNAcentral is "partial 16S ribosomal RNA". It matches the Rfam family "Bacterial small subunit ribosomal RNA", at positions 524 to 776 of the family's 1533-position model. The record is from RNAcentral.
UACAGAGGUCUCAAGCGUUGUUCGGAUUCAUUGGGCGUAAAGGGUGCGUAGGUGGCGGGGUAAGUCAGGUGUGAAAUCUCGGGGCUCAACCCCGAAACUGCACUUGAUACUGCCUUGCUCGAGUACUGGAGAGGAGAUUGGAAUUUACGGUGUAGCAGUGAAAUGCGUAGAUAUCGAGAGGAACACCAGUGGCGAAGGCGAGUCCCUGGACAAAAACCUGACACUGAGGCACGAAAGCUAGGGGAGCAAACAGG